Molecule: long non-coding RNA, 172 nt
Organism: Sphaeramia orbicularis (orbiculate cardinalfish)
Lineage: Eukaryota; Metazoa; Chordata; Actinopteri; Kurtiformes; Apogonidae
Exons: 3
Source: RefSeq, a predicted model, not a curated record
AGACAAACUAAAUUUCUUAUCACCCAAAACUAAAUUCAGGAAAUAAAAUACAAUAACUAGCUUAAACUCCAUAAACCAAAAACAGGAUAAAAAUGUGAAGAGAAAAGAGCCACCCUCCCCUACCCGAAAAUUAGGACUGUUUUACUAAACAACUAUUAUUUAUAAACAUACA